Molecule: ribosomal RNA, 413 nt
Filed under: bacterium
Lineage: Bacteria
Description: bacterial SSU rRNA
Rfam family: Bacterial small subunit ribosomal RNA
Source: RNAcentral
GGAGCAACGCCGCGUGAGUGAUGAAGGUUUUCGGAUCGUAAAGCUCUGUUGCCAGGGAAGAACGUCUUGUAGAGUAACUGCUACAAGAGUGACGGUACCUGAGAAGAAAGCCCCGGCUAACUACGUGCCAGCAGCCGCGGUAAUACGUAGGGGGCAAGCGUUGUCCGGAAUUAUUGGGCGUAAAGCGCGCGCAGGCGGCUCUUUAAGUCUGGUGUUUAAUCCCGAGGCUCAACUUCGGGUCGCACUGGAAACUGGGGAGCUUGAGUGCAGAAGAGGAGAGUGGAAUUCCACGUGUAGCGGUGAAAUGCGUAGAGAUGUGGAGGAACACCAGUGGCGAAGGCGACUCUCUGGGCUGUAACUGACGCUGAGGCGCGAAAGCGUGGGGAGCAAACAGGAUUAGAUACCCGGGUAGU